Molecule: long non-coding RNA, 302 nt
Organism: Zea mays
Lineage: Eukaryota; Viridiplantae; Streptophyta; Magnoliopsida; Poales; Poaceae
Exons: 3
Source: RefSeq, a predicted model, not a curated record
AGGAAAUUCAAGACGUAUCUAAUAUACUUGAACAAGGUGUGGCCAAUGAUCAAAUACAUAUACCAAUACGUCCAUUAGAAGAGGUUAAUUUGCAUGAUCACGCAAUUAUGAAUGUUAGUGGUGUCAGUGAACAAAAUGAUCAUGCCAGAAAGAAACUGGAUUUUGCAGUCGAUGGGAUAAGCUUGGCAAGACCAAAUAACUCAAAACCCAAAGGAAGAACAAUAAAGGGGAGUGAAGAAAGGGUUAUUAAAUUGGGAGCAAAAGGUACAAAGAAAAUGACCAGGAAAUGUCAGAAGUGUGGA